UGUUUCCUUUUUCAAGUACUACUAUGAGAAACUACCACUCUCUCUUCUCUAUCUACCCAACUUCAUCUUCUAUCAUUGCAGCUGCAGUUGCAGUGCCGUAGAGUAGACACUCCCACUCACUCCCUCCCUCGAUUGAGCAGAGAAUGUACACGUCACCGUCCUCAGAUUAGAAGAAGAAAUGGCUGCAUUAAUCUGUUUUCCUCCAUCUCUCUCAUCUCUUUCUACGAAUACAAUUCCCAAAUUAUCCACUCCAUCAUCCUUCUCAAACACCAGAUGCUUUUUUCCACACAAAGCCCCUUGCCUCUCCAAUUUUGUUGCCAGGGCUUAUAAUUGGGGCAAUUCCGAAUAUGAUGAUGAUGAUAAUGGCAAGUAUACAAAAGAAGAUUAUGACAGCAUUGAGAUUGAAAUAGUGAAGACUGGCAACAACAGCCGGAGAAUUAGAUCAAAAGUAAGGAUCCAAGCCAGCCUACAGGCUGUUUGGGAUAUAUUGACUGAUUAUGAAGGCUUAGCAGACUUCAUUCCUGGCCUAGCAGUCAGCAAGUUGCUUGAGAAGACCGAUAAUUUUGUUCGCCUUUUUCAGAUUGGUCAGCAGAAUUUAGCUUUUGGGCUCAAAUUCGACGCAAAAGGUACUAUUGACUGUGUUGAGAAGGAUCUUGAAAUUCUUCCAAUUGGGCAGAGGCGUGAUAUUGAGUUCAAGAUGGUUGAAGGUGAUUUCCAGAUCUUUCAAGGAAAGUGGUCUGUUGAACAGGUGAAGUCUAAGGCUGGAGAUUUGCAAAGUCAUUCUGUUGAUGACAUAGAAUACCAAACGACACUUGUAUAUGUUGUUGAUGUGAAACCUAAGGUGUGGUUGCCUGUGCGCCUUGUAGAGGGUAGACUCUGCACGGAGAUAAGAACAAACCUGUCAUGCAUACGCGAAGAAGCCGAGAAAGCAUUUCAGAGUGCAAAUUCUGUUACUAUAGAAGAUUGAUAUUUCUGGUGUUUCAGUCUGUUUUCAUUCAAUGGUGUAGGAAUCAAUGAAUUGAGAAAUUGAUGAUGCCUCAGUCAUCAAGUUUUGUCUCCAAAUAGCUCCAGCAUCAGCUGCAGAGUUGGGUCAUUGCAAAAAAUAAGGGCAUGCAGUCGUUGUCUCGUUUUGCUUCGCCUACUAAGGGUUUCGAAGGAAGGAGCUCAGUACAUAAGAAGAAUGCAUUCCUGAACUCUCUUGACCAAUUUGACAGUGUUGCCUAUUGCAUCCUCUCAAAGUUUUACUUUUGUCAAUUUUUGGUUUCAGUCAUCUACAUUGAGAUACUAUGUUAGAAUAUGAAAUUUCAUU
Non-coding RNA from Salvia hispanica, 1309 nucleotides. The record is from RefSeq and is a predicted model, not a curated record. Lineage: Eukaryota; Viridiplantae; Streptophyta; Magnoliopsida; Lamiales; Lamiaceae.